RNAcentral lists this ribosomal RNA (253 nucleotides) under uncultured bacterium. RNAcentral describes it as "partial 16S ribosomal RNA". It matches the Rfam family "Bacterial small subunit ribosomal RNA", at positions 524 to 776 of the family's 1533-position model. The record is from RNAcentral.
UACGUAGGGUGCAAGCAUUAAUCGGAUUUAUUGGGCGUAAAGGGCGCGUAGGCGGAAAUGCCAGUCAGAUGUGAAAUCCCGGGGCUCAACCCCGGAACAGCAUUUGAAACUACAUUUCUAGAGGGUAGGCGGAGAAAACGGAAUUCCACAAGUAGCGGUGAAAUGCGUAGAUAUGUGGAAGAACACCAGUGGCGAAGGCGGUUUUCUAGCUUAUACCUGACGCUGAGGCGCGAAAGCCAGGGGAGCAAACGGG